Molecule: ribosomal RNA, 253 nt
Filed under: uncultured bacterium
Lineage: Bacteria
Description: partial 16S ribosomal RNA
Rfam family: Bacterial small subunit ribosomal RNA
Source: RNAcentral
UACGAAGGGUGCUAGCGUUGUUCGGAAUGACUGGGCGUAAAGGGCGCGUAGGCGGCAGAGCACGUCUGAUGUGAAAGACCUGGGCUUAACCUGGGAAGUGCAUUGGAUACGGCUUUGCUAGAGCGCGGGAGAGGAGAAUGGAAUUGCGUGUGUAGAGGUGAAAUUCGUAGAUAUACGCAAGAACACCGGUGGCGAAGGCGAUUCUCUGGCCCGAUACUGACGCUGAGGCGCGAAAGCGUGGGGAGCAAACAGG